This 207-nucleotide ribosomal RNA is filed under the name uncultured bacterium. RNAcentral describes it as "partial 16S ribosomal RNA". It matches the Rfam family "Bacterial small subunit ribosomal RNA", at positions 568 to 774 of the family's 1533-position model. The record is from RNAcentral.
CGUGUAGGCGGUUGGUCAAGUCUGAUGUGAAAGCCCGGGGCUCAGCUUCGGAAGGGCAUCGGAAACUAGCCAGCUGGAGCGCGAUAGAGGAGGGCGGAAUUCCUGGUGUAGCGGUGAAAUGCGUAGAUAUCAGGAGGAACACCGGCGGCGAAGGCGGCCCUCUGGAUCGUUGCUGACGCUGGGACGCGAAAGCGUGGGGAGCGAACA